RNAcentral lists this non-coding RNA (35 nucleotides) under Pongo abelii (Sumatran orangutan). Lineage: Eukaryota; Metazoa; Chordata; Mammalia; Primates; Hominidae. The record is from RNAcentral.
UCUCUUCAAAUUCCUUCAAAAUUUUGCCUGGGUGG